AAGAAAUAAUACUUGCUUUAUGAACUUAGGUUAAGGUUGACUAUUGACGUCAAUAAUAGUUCAAGCAGUAACAUUUUAAGCACCUGUUUCGCCCAGGUGUUUUUCUGCUAUAAUAGCUCUGAUUUUAGAGUACCUCAGUAUCUAGAAAGCAACAGUUCGGACCGUCGUCUAAGCAAUUCUCCAUUUCAUAAAAAAGUUACCAAAGAUAUUGUUCGACACUCAAUGACAAGCUUCAUUUCUUUUUGGAAAAGUAGGUUUCUCUACAGGAAAACCACCGCAAUGGAAGAAGUAUCUCCCAUAAAUUUAGAAAUCCUUACUGAAGACGAAUUGAUCAGGCGAUUAAUUUUAAAAGAUUAUAUUUAGCUUAUCAAUUGGCCAGAUACAAAAAGACAGGUAUGUGAAGUGGCGGAGAACACUCGAAACGCCGUUAAAAUGGGAUGAAAAUUGUAAAGUUAAAAAAAAGUCGUUUUUAAACAAACCUUUAAGAUGAACACUUCUGAAUUAAAAGAAGAAACUUUUAUUGUUUAAAAAGGAAAUAAGCACAGCAGUUGAAAGACUACGUUCGAGGAAGGCAUUGUUACCAAAAGCUAACCAGAGGGAGACAGUUUAUCAUCAGACUAUUCGAGGUGAAAACCUGCAGUAAUUAGGGGAUAGACCAUAGAGGAACAACUCAUUAUUUACUGUUACCAUGAAAUUAAAUUCAAUUGUCGAGGGGAGCGACAGUAUAUAAACUUUGCUGAAGAGCUGGAUUAAAUUGCAACGACAUGCCAAAAUCAAUAUCGAAAGAUACAUCAGCUUAUCUCUCAUCGAGAGGAGGGUAAAACUAUGCAGAAGAUUGUUCUUUUUAGCUAUAAGGAGGCCAUCCGCAGUUUCCAGAAUAUUAAACUUCACUGGAACAAUGUUUGUCCCCAGGAAGAUCGUCCGGCCGACCGCGUCUGACGACUCAUGAUCAGGAUGAGCAACUAAGAUCAGAGCCAGGGGAGCCCUUUUACUAUGGCCUCAUCGAAUUCUAAAUUUUUCUAGGAAUGAAAAUGGUCGCUUUUUUUGUAUCGAGUCCAGAAGGCGUUCAUUAAACGAUACUACGGAAGACCGAUCAAGCUCUUCAGGCAUGGAAGAGAUUAAGAGACAUUAUUCAAAAUAAUGCGCAAAGGCUCCUCCCGCGCAGACACAUUUGUUCUGUCGAUUUUGGCAUUGUUGAAUGGAGGCGUGCAAGUCACUGGUAGCAAGAUCUGGAGAGUAAGGUGAUUGGGUGAUGACAGGAAUGCUUUUGUCGGCGAGGAAUUUCUGCACAGUGUCUCGUGGAUAAACCUGGGGCCAUGCCACUUGUAAACUGUGGAUUUCUUUUGUGCCUUAUCACCGUAAACUUGCUGCAGGGUAGCUGUCGACCCUGCAGUAGUUUUCCCAAUUUGCAAUGAACUUGAUGUUUGCAAACUUCCCAAUGCUGCUCGAACUGGGACAUUGCAUCGAAUGAUAAGUCCUCGUGCCCAAUAGACUCUCUAUAGUAACGACUGCAAGUCUAAACUUACACGAGCAUUAUCAGUGCGAAUAGACAAGCUGAGCUUCCUGCCACAGCAAUGCAUAACCUUAUCUUAUAUUGCAUUUUAUAAGUGUGUAAAAAAAAUUCCGGGAACAUUUUCACUGCCCCUUGUAUUAUCUGUUUUUAUCUUAAACCUCAACAGUGUCAUAUCAAAUUUUAAAAUAUUUUAAUUUUCUGUAGCCAUUUCUUAUUUCAGUUCGUAAAUAAAAGACAAAGUGAGGAGUUAAUAAUAACCAAUACUAAAAGACAACAAUCCCCAUGUUCCAUCUUUUUAACUCCAAAAUAAUUACUAAAAUAUUUAUCGUUUAAUGAGAACCUAACGAUAUUGUAGAUAUGUAAGCGUGAUUUUUGUAUACGUUACAUUAAAAUUGACCAUUCUCUGUAUGUAAUUUACCGUCGUAAAAUUGUAUUUGUUAAAUAUAAUGCUGAACAUAA
RNAcentral lists this long non-coding RNA (1972 nucleotides) under Centruroides sculpturatus (bark scorpion). Its description in RNAcentral is "uncharacterized LOC111638930, transcript variant X2". Lineage: Eukaryota; Metazoa; Arthropoda; Arachnida; Scorpiones; Buthidae. The record is from RNAcentral.